UUCUUGGUCUUUGUUUAUCUAUGGACUAAUUACUGGGUUAUGUGGCAGAUCAAAUCGGCCUGACACCUGAAGAAGUUAUCUCAAAAAUAAUGGCUAAUCCUGAUAUUGCCAUGGCAUUCCAGAACCCCAGAGUUCAACAAGCGAUUAUGGAUGUUUCGCAAAACCCCAUGAAUAUUGUUAAAUAUCAAAACGACCAGGAGGUAAUGGAUGUGUUCAACAAGAUACAACAACUCUUCCCAGGAACAACGGGCCCAUCUGGAUUUUGAUUAGUUCUGCACGAUAAUCUGUACGCUGCUUUCUUUGGUCCAUCUAGAAUAUGCGUUUUGCAUGCUUGGCGCGGAUAACAGUACUAAAAUUCCUCAUAUGUGAUCGACAAUAAAAGAAGACGCGAAACUAUUUUAGGAUGUGUUGGUCUGUGGCCAGGACUAGAUCGUACAAAGUUUUGGUAAAUUUGUGAGUUAGUGUUUCAUGUUAUCGAGUUAUGAAUAUGUAGAUGCUGACAGAUGAUCUUGUGAUUUCACGUCAUGAAGAUGGAGUGAUAAUAGUGCACUAGUUAAUCAAAAGCAUUAAAUUUAUUUUUCUGAAAAUUUGUACAGAAUAUUUCUGCAUGAUGGUGUUAAUCAAUAUCAUUACAAACAGUUAGGAUGAUUUAUAAUGUUUUUAUUUAUUAAGUGUAAUGAGCAUCACUCAUUAAAGCUUGUUGUAUUAAUCUUUAUUUUAGCUAUGAUUGUUGCUUAUGAAGUCGUACUGGACUACUGAGUGCUAUGUCCAGAAGUUCCAUAUGUGAGUGCACAAGUUUGUAAUACAGUAGUAUUAUAGUUUUACUGAUGUGAUAAAAUUAUGAAAUCUAUAACUGUAUUAGAUUAUUUUUUAUGUCAAUAUUAAUAUAUGUGAUGAUAUUUUUAUAA
This is a long non-coding RNA of Beta vulgaris subsp. vulgaris (sugar beet), 908 nucleotides long. RefSeq lists it as uncharacterized. The record is from RefSeq and is a predicted model, not a curated record. Lineage: Eukaryota; Viridiplantae; Streptophyta; Magnoliopsida; Caryophyllales; Amaranthaceae. The transcript has 3 exons.